Long non-coding RNA from Papaver somniferum (opium poppy), 1433 nucleotides. RefSeq lists it as uncharacterized. The transcript has 2 exons. The record is from RefSeq and is a predicted model, not a curated record. NCBI's taxonomy places the organism in Eukaryota, Viridiplantae, Streptophyta, Magnoliopsida, Ranunculales, Papaveraceae.
GUUCCACGCCGCUCUCUAUCUUCUUCCUCCAUUACCCUCUUUCUCUUUUUUGUUCAUCAAUUUUUAGCCUAAAUUAGAAGAAGAAAAAUGACAUCAAGCAACAAUUCCUCAUGUGGUCUUCAUUGUACUCUCCAUUUAAUCUUACAUCUGCUGCUUGAGUGAUUUUUUCCACUUCCUUUGUCUGUCGAUUGGUCUUAUUCCACUUGCUACAUCAAGUAAUACCACAGUAAAGCUGAAAAUACUGUUAUCUCGGUUUUUUUUAAGAUCUGGUUGAAGCGAUUCUGAUUUUCAUAUGUCCGGUGGUGCUACAUCGUACAAUUGGAGUUAGCGAUGCCGAAGGAAACCAAUGAAACUGAACAAUCAAAUAUGGGUGAUCGUCAUAUUUCUUCGUAAUCCCUUAUUUCAAUUAGAUUUUGAAAGGAUUUUAGGCUUUGUUCUUCCAUAAUGCACUGUUGCAUUUUAAGUGUUUGGUUAUACGCCUCAACAAAUUAACAUCAGCUGAUAGAUGAAUAAGUGAAGUGGUGGUGGUAUUAUUUUACAGUCAAAACGAACAUAAAAAUGAUUGUUUUCCAAUAGUUAUCCGUGAUUAGCUGUUGGUGAUGAUCUCAUUUGCUUGAGGGGCUUAAAAGUCUUUUUUUAAGAGAUGUCAAUACCAUUGUUUUCUUUUUCUUCUUCAUUAUCUUGCUUUUUCUACUCUAUUUUAAUCUAAUCGGAUUAACGAAAAUAAUUUGAUGUAGAAUUUCUUUUAUAUAAUUUACAUGUAAUCUUUUCGUUAAAGUAUCAUUGUUUAUGUGUUCGAUUUUGAAUUCGUUGAAUACAUUUUAACCAUAAAACGAGAUAGCAUAUGUAAUUUUAUGUCACAUAUAUGGUGAUGUUAAUGCAGCGUUUAGUCAUUUUUCCCCUUUAUAUAAUUUCAUUGCUUUUUUUGAAUUUUUAUUAUUUCUAAAUAGGAAUGUGUUCUUUACUUUAAGGUGCGCAUUUAUACUUAUGAUACUAUCCUACCUUGUUAAAUGUUUGAAGUCGGCUUAUUGACGAUCGUUAUGCCUGAAUGAUGGAAUGGAGGGUGAUGCGGAGGUCUGUGGGCGAGAUGAGGAUCUUGACGUGGAAGGUCAAAAUGAUGAGGAUGACUAUGAUGACAUGAAGGAUGAAAAUUUCGUCCUUGACUAUCCUGACAUGGAGCACCCAAAUGUGAGGGUGCUAGUGAUGAUGAAUGACUUUCUUUAUUUCUUUUGGAAGACUAGUGCGGACUGGAUCAAGUGAUGAAAUGUUUUUUUUUUUUCUUUCUUCUCAUCAAGAUAUAGGGCAGGGAGGAUGAUGACAUGUAGUAUGGCAUCUUUUCUUUUUAAAGCCCAUGAAAUUUUUUCUUUUUAAAGCAUCAUGUAGUAAGGCAUAAUGACUUGUUGGUUUUGGGAAUGAAAUGCAUUUUUUUUUAA